Molecule: long non-coding RNA, 2382 nt
Organism: Mauremys mutica (yellowpond turtle)
Lineage: Eukaryota; Metazoa; Chordata; Testudines; Geoemydidae
Exons: 5
Source: RefSeq, a predicted model, not a curated record
UAGAGGGAGAAGGGCCAGCUGCCGGAGAGGCAGCUACCUGAACUGGAGCAGUGCUGGGGAGCUCCAGCCUGGAACUGAAAAAAAAAAUGUCAAAAUCAUGAAGUUUCCUGACUACAAAUCCAGCUCCCAUCUGCCCAGAAGCUCCAUCUCUGUGCUGGUCCAAGGCCUCCCUGCACCCCUAUGUACCCAGCGGCUUCUCACCCGGGGGGUGCCAGAGGCCACUCUAUGCUGUAACAGGGGUUCCCCCAGCAGGGAAGAGAAGGAAGAGUUGCUGCAGCCCCAGAACCUUCACAAACCCAUUCGGAGCUCCAGGUUCCAUAAGAAAUGUGAUGGAGUCCUCUGUGAUACCUGGCGUGAAUCCUAGGAGUCCUAGAAGAGGACACGGACUAUUUUGUGCCAUCUCCUCAUAGCACAUGGAUUAAGCUCUUUGCAGGCCCCCGAUCCAAACACUAGUCCCUCAACCUUACCUCCUUGCCUUGCCAGCGAACCAGAGGCAUAAUGGGACACUCACUGAGUCCGCUCACACAUGGCACAGGAGGGAGGAGCUCCAUCGCUCGGCGGCUGGUCUCACUCCCAUCCUGUGUGGGAGGAAGAGCCAGUGUUGGGAAGCAGCUGAUUCCAUGCACCAAGGAGAAACCAGCCCCCUCACCUUCCGCGGAGUGUCACUGGGCAGGAGUGCUGCUUGGCUCAACCUCCAUCACGGUCAAUUUCAUUCUGUGCUCCCCUGCCCCCACCCGCAGUCUGUGUGCGCAUGCAUAGUAGGAAGCGUGACUGCAGGCUGGCUCCCAGAACCAGCUGGCAGCAGGUGGGAGCUCUCACAGCAAAGCCCAGGCAACAGAACUGACACACACACACAAAGAAUCCAAUAGCCCAUGACAGAUGGCUCCAGCAGCUUGCAUCCUCCCCUCACCCCCCAUCUUUUCCCUUUCUCUGCUUUUUUUCAUUCACUUCCCCUCUCCUUUCUUUUCUUUCACGUCUCCUCCUCUAGACUUUUUCUCUCAUUUCUUUUUCUUAUUUCAGCCUUCACUGCUCCCUCUCCCCAACCACUUUUUGCUCCCUCUCUUUCCUCCUUCCUAUCUCAUCUCUGUGCAUUUAUUUGUUUUAUGAAGUUUGAGCUGCUGGAAGGACAGACCUGCAGACAUCCAGGUUGGGAGCUGCACGGGAACCAGAAUUUCCAUUCUGCAGGAAAUUCCAUGAUUUCCUCAUGUAUUUUCUUUCCAAAUCGGGGGGGGGGGGGAGUCAAAUUUCAAACUUCCCCAUGAAGUGAAAUAUUGUUUUGGGCCAAUCGAAGGGUUUCAUUUCAAUAAAAGCCAAAGGUUGGGUUACAAUUUUUAAAAUUUAAGCCUUUUUUAAAAUAACAAAAUAAAUUUUUUGCAACAACAACUCAUUUCAAAACCCCAAAUCGAAACAUUCCAUUCCCAAACUGUCAAAAUGGAAGAGCCAUGGGGACGGAACAGGUCAGUGGCCAGGCUGGGAACAGAGUCCUGUGUCCUAAGCCACAUGGGCGGAACUUUUUGACCUUGUCAAAAUGCUUCCUUUCUAUUUUUUUUUAAAGUAAAAUGUUGAAAUUGACACGUUCCUGCAGAAAAUUUUGAUUUUGACAAAAUGGCAUUUUCUAGCCAUCUCUUUGGCCCAGAUCCUGAAAGGUAUUUAGGCUCCUAACUUCCACUAAAUCACUGUCUCACAGUGCAUUUUAGCCCUAUUCUUUCUCCACUGUUCUUCCACCUUUGUUUUCUUUCACCUUCCCCUUUCCCAGGAUCGCUUAUUCUCUCCCAACUGCCCUUCUCCCAGGAAAGACUCCUCCUCUCUCAUUGCCCACGUUAACCUGCCUGCAAUGGCAGUGAAGGGUUAAAGGGAGCUCAGUUAGCCUCUUCUGUGGCACCUGCUGGCAGAUAGGUCGUUAAGGAUUAGACCCAGCUGGGGAGAACCAGCCUGGGUAGUUCCUGUAAAGGAAGGACUGCAGGGAGUUGAGGAAAGCUGCAGUAGGGAGUGUGAACAUUAGGACUGGUCUUGCGGGGGAGGGUUACAGGAGAGAAGGGAACAUUUGGAGCUGACUAGGGAAACUGAGGCAAUGCUGCAUGAGCCACAAAGUGGCAAAGGAAGCAGGCGCCUCCAGCCCCGGAUCUGUUCUGUGAAAGGAACUGGGAGGCAGAUGAAGAGAGCCCCUGCAAUGCGGCCACCUCUGGGGGCGAGGGCAGCAGCCAGGUGGACAACUGAUGCACCGAACAGUCAUCCAUUGUAUGAAUGGGUGGUCGGGAGUCAAGCCUCUGUUCUACAUCUCCUCACACGACCUCCUGCAGCAUGGUGCCCCUAGCACCACCCUGCAGUGGUGGUUCAGGGGGAGAUUGCCACAUACUGGAGGAUGAAGACUGCUUUCUACAG